Carassius gibelio (silver crucian carp) is the source of this 391-nucleotide long non-coding RNA. RefSeq lists it as uncharacterized. Lineage: Eukaryota; Metazoa; Chordata; Actinopteri; Cypriniformes; Cyprinidae. The record is from RefSeq and is a predicted model, not a curated record. The transcript is spliced from 4 exons.
UGCUGAUGUCAUUAGCAGGUGAGGAGGAGCAUGAUGUCACUAGCAGGUGUGUAGAUGAUGCUGAUGUCAUUAGCAGGUGUGUAGAUGAUGCUGAUGCCACUAGCAGGUGAGGAGGAGCAUGAUUUCACUAGCAGGUGUGUAGAUGAUGCUGAUGCCACUAGCAGGUGAGGAGGAGCAUGAUGUCACUAGCAGGUCUGUAGACGAUGCUGAUGUCACUAGCAGGUGUGUAGACGAUGCUGAUGUCACUAGCACGUGUGUAGACGAUGCUGAUGUCACUAGCAGGUGAGUAGACGAUGCUGAUGUCACUAGCAGGUGAGGAAGAGCAUGAUGUCACUAGCAGGUGAGGAGGAGCAUGAUGUCACUGGCAGGUGAGUUGAUGAUGCCGAUGUCA